RNAcentral lists this ribosomal RNA (358 nucleotides) under uncultured rumen bacterium clone 4. RNAcentral's name for it is "bacterial SSU rRNA". It matches the Rfam family "Bacterial small subunit ribosomal RNA", at positions 18 to 363 of the family's 1533-position model. The record is from RNAcentral.
UUUGGCUCAGGAUGAACGCUGGCGGCGUGCUUAACACAUGCAAGUCGAACGGGGUUUAAGAAGGAAGCUUGCUUUCAUUUUAAACCUAGUGGCGGACGGGUGAGUAACGCGUGAGGAACCUGCCCUUCAGUGGGGAACAACAACUAGAAAUGGUUGCUAAUACCGCAUAAUGUCGGAGAGCCGCAUGACAUUCCGACCAAAGGAUUUAUUCGCUGAAGGAUGGCCUCGCGUCCGAUUAGGCAGUUGGUGAGGUAACGGCCCACCAAACCUACGAUCGGUAGCCGAACUGAGAGGUUGAUCGGCCACAUUGGGACUGAGACACGGCCCAGACUCCUACGGGAGGCAGCAGUGGGGAAUA